UGGUGGAGUGAUUUGUCUGGUCAAUUUCGGUAACGAGCGAGAUCCCUAUGCGAUAGUUGCUCUUUGCAAAUCUGUUUGUGAAAGAGUUCCUAUCCAGACCGUCGACGCAAGUCGAAGGAAGUUGGGGGCUAAAUCA
Molecule: ribosomal RNA, 136 nt
Filed under: uncultured eukaryote
Lineage: Eukaryota
Description: partial 18S ribosomal RNA
Rfam family: Eukaryotic small subunit ribosomal RNA
Source: RNAcentral